GGGAUGGGAGGACCCAAUAGGAGCCAAUAGAAGCCAAUAGGGGAUGGGAGGAUCCAAUAGGAGCCAAUACAAGCCAAUAGGGGAUGGGAGGAGCCAAUAGGAGCCCAAUAGAACCCAGUAGAGGUCCAAUAGGAACCAAUAGGGGCCCAAUAGGAACCAAUAGGGGCCCAAUAGGAGCCAGUAGGGACCCAAUAGAGGCCAAUAGGGAUGGGAGGAGCCAAUAGGAGCCCAAUAGAACCCAGUAGGGGCCCAAUAGGAGCCAAUAGGGGCCCAAUAGAGGCCAAUAGGGGAUGGGAGCACCCCAAUAGAAGCCAAUAGGGGAUGGGAGGACACAAUAGAAGCCAAUAAGGGCCCAAUAGAGGCUAUAGGGUUGGGAGGACCCAAUAGACGUCAAGUUGAUUAUGUUGAGAACCAAUAGGAGCCAUAGGGAUGGGAGGACCCCAAUAGGGAUGGGAGGACCCCAAUAGAAGCCAAUAGGGGAUGGGAGGACCCUAUAGACGUCGAGUUGAUCACGUUGGGGCCCAAUAGGAGUCAAUAGAAGCCAAUAGGAACCCCAUAGAGGCUAUAGGGUUGGGAGGACCCAAAAGGAGCCCCAUAGAACCCAGUAGGGACCCAAUAGGAACCAAUAGGGGCCCAAUAGAAGCCAUAGGGGAUGGGAGGACCCCAAUAGGGAUGGGAGGACCCCAAUAGAAGCCANACCAUCGAGGUCCUCCAAGGCAUCUCUAUGGUCCUCCAAGGCAUCACUUGGGUGCUCCAACAACUCUAUGAUCAUCGAGGUCCUCCAAGGUGCCACUUGGGUCCUCCAACAACUCUAUGAUCAUCGAGGUCCUCCAAGGUGCCAUCGGGGUCCUCCAACAACUCUAUGGUCACCAUCGCGGUCCUCCAAGGCCUCACUUGGGUCCUCCAACAACUCUAUGGUUACCAUCGAGGUCCUCCAAGGCAUCUCUAUGGUCCUCCAAGGCCUCACUUGGGUCCUCCAACAACUCUAUGAUCAUCGAGGUCCUCCAAGGCAUCUCUAUGGUCCUCCAAGGUGUCGCUGGGGUCCUCCAACAACUCUAUGAUCACCAUCGAGGUCCUCCAAGGCAUCUCCAUGGUCCUCCAAGGCCUCACUUGUGUCCUCCAACAACUCUAUGAUCAUUGAGGUCCUCCAAGGUGUAGCUGGGGUCCUCCAACAACUCUAUGAUCAGCAUCGAGGUCCUCCAAGGCCUCACUUGGGUCCUCCAACAACUCUAUGAUCACCAUCGAGGUCCUCCAAGGCAUCUCUAUGGUCCUCCAAGGUGUCGCUGGGGUCCUCCAACAACUCUGUGAUCAUCGAGGUCCUCCAAGGUGUCGCUGGGGUCCUCCAACAACUGUAUGGUCACCAUCGCUGUCCUCCAAGGCCUCACUUGGGUCCUCCAACAACUCUAUGGUCACCAUCAAGGUCCUCCAAGGUGCCAUCGGGGUCCUCCAUCAACUCUAUGAUCACCAUCAAUGUCCUCCAAGGCAUCUCUAUGGUCCUCCAAGGCAUCUCUAUGGUCCUCCAAGAACUCUAUGAUCCUUACGGUCCUCCAAGGCUUCACUUGGGUCCUCCAACAACUCUAUGAUCAAUGGGGAGGACCAUUGGGGAGGGAGAUGGGGACAUAGGGACCAAUGGGGUGGGGGACGGGAACAUACAGACCAAUGGGGUUGGAGAUGGGGAUAUAGGGACCAAUGGGGUGGGGAGAUGGUGUGGGGAUCCCCAAGCAGCCAAUCAGGAGGCCACGUAUGUCUCUGGGAUGGGGAAUAGGGACCAAUGGGGGGCGAGCUGAUCACGGAGGGGCCCAAUAGGAGCCAAUAGGGGCCCAAUAGGAACCAAUAGGGACCCAAUAGGGUUGGGAGGACCCAAUAGGAACCAAUAGGGGCCCAAUAGAACCCAGUAGGGGCCCAAUAGAAGCCAAGAGGGGAUGGGAGGAGCCAAUAGGAGCCCAAUAGAAGUCAGUAGGGACACAAUAGGAACCAAUAGGGGCCCAAUAGAGGCCAAUAGGGUUGGGAGGACCCAAUAGGAGCCAAUAGAAGCUAAUAGGGGAUGGGAGGACCCAAUAGGAGCCAAUAGAAGCCAAUAGGGGAUGGGAGGAUCCAAUAGGAGCCAAUACAAGCCAAUAGGGGAUGGGAGGAG
Long non-coding RNA from Coturnix japonica (Japanese quail), 2134 nucleotides. Lineage: Eukaryota; Metazoa; Chordata; Aves; Galliformes; Phasianidae. The record is from Ensembl.